This is a small nucleolar RNA of Cynara cardunculus var. scolymus (artichoke), 216 nucleotides long. RefSeq annotates it as small nucleolar RNA U3. NCBI's taxonomy places the organism in Eukaryota, Viridiplantae, Streptophyta, Magnoliopsida, Asterales, Asteraceae. The transcript has a single exon. The record is from RefSeq and is a predicted model, not a curated record.
AUGACCUAACUUGAACAAGAUCUGUUUUUAUAUGCGUGUACCUCUGUAUUCUUGAUUCCUAAAGAGACAAAAAACCCAUAUCUAGCUGAUGGACCAAGAUCAUGGAACUGGAGCGUGAUUAAUAGAGACUCGUGGUCUGGGGUAUGGCUCAGUGGUGGAUCGUUGCCACCCCAUCUGAUGGGUCUUGGCAUGGCUACAUGGUUUGUCUAACAGAUA